RNAcentral lists this long non-coding RNA (1617 nucleotides) under Homo sapiens (human). RNAcentral's name for it is "non-protein coding LINC00658:9". Lineage: Eukaryota; Metazoa; Chordata; Mammalia; Primates; Hominidae. The record is from RNAcentral.
AGAUCUCUCUCUCUGCGGAAGCCAGCCACCGCUCUCCAAGGACUCUCGAGCAGCUCCAUCUACAGAUUCACAUGGAGAAGAAUUAAGGGUUCCUGCCAAUCACCAGCACCACUUUGCCAGCCUUGUAAGUGGGCCACCUUGGAAUUGGAGCCUCCAGUUCCUACUGACAUCUGACUGCAACAUCAUGAGAGACCCUGAGUUUGAACCACCCAGCUGAGCUGCUUCUGAGCUAACCCACUGAAACCGUGAAAGUACCUGAAUGAAACAACACCCAGUAGCCACUAGCACACCUAGCUCCCAGAUCUGUUUUUGAUGCCAUUCUUCAGUAAAAGGAAGCAAGGCUGCUUGGAGAAAUUGCUAUCAAGGACUGGGGUAGAAAAUAUACAAGAUGAAAUUGGAGCAUCUUGUAGUGCUUGAAAACAGUUGGCAUCUGUGUGAAGAUGUGAAUGGAGGAGGCAGAGUAGGCAGUGAGUGCCGCAGCCACAGCUUGUGUUCUCUGCAGCCCUGGCACAGAAGAUAGGAACACUCAUGGGGGAUGCGGCCACUGUGAUGUCUUCCCACACAAGAAGUGCCAAGUGCUUUUCUCAUGCUUUUCUGGAUUGUCCCAUGGUGGACGAGUCAGCAGGAGUGAGAUGGAGCAGCACAGUAGAGGGGCCAGGAUAUCGUUGUACAUAUUCUCAGCUAAGUGAGCACCAAUAGAGGAGAGGGAGAGUCUCAUGGAAGUUCCUUCUAAGCCUUUGGCUCUUUUUACCUUCAACAAGGUGUGCCACCUCUUUGAUCCAGCAAGUGGGAAGAACAGUCCCGGCCUCUUUGCACACAAGACCGUGAUACCAAUGCACCAUCACAGGCCCCACAGGGGAGCUGUCCGCUUCCCCACACAGCUGCUAGGGGCUCUUUUGCAUGUUCCCAACCUUUCCUGCCUUUAUCUGAUAUUCGUUCCUUAGAUCCUGGGAUGAGGAGGUGGACCAGCAGAAGGUGGGCUUGUGAAGGCAGCCCGGGGUCCAAAUCCUCCUGGCUCUUCAGCUUAGCGGGUUAGUUAACAUUCAGAAGCCUUCAUCUCCCAUCUGCAAAAUGGGCAUGUCCAACUCAGAAGCUGCCUUGAAGAAAGGGUCUACCCAGCAUGGUGCGUGGAGCCUAAGCAGUCAGUACUUCAGGACUUCACCCGGCCCCUUUCCAAUAACUGCUGCUGUCGCCCUCACAGGAUGUCACCUUCAGCGUCUGAAAGCUGGGUUUGAUGCGUCUGGAAAGGCGUCCCUGACAGGCGUCGUUGCCAGGAGCCCCUAGUGCCACCAGCAGCCAGCAGGGGAGGGCGUCCUCUGCCCGCUCACUUCUGACCCUUCUCUCGUUGCACCCGGAACAUGGUGCAGCUGGGAGCAGCCUGGGCUGCGCGGAAGGCUCAGAUUUGGGGACGGCCCUUGCCAGUGACUGUGAGCUGGGGUGUCUUGGAAACUCCCAGUCUCAGCUUCUCCAUUUAUAAGAUGAGAAUGAUCAUACCAGACUCAGGCAAGGUUGUUUGUGCAUUAGUGAAAUCAGACGUAUUAAAUAAAGUACCACAUUGAUCGUGGAGUUGUUGAAUAACCAAGAACACGCCUAUCUGUCUCCAAAAAAUAAAUGUUG